CCCGAGCGUUAUCCGGAUUUAUUGGGCGUAAAGCGAGCGCAGACCGGUUGAUUAAGUCUGAUGUGAAAGCCCGGAGCUCAACUCCGGAAAUGGCAUUGGAAAACUGGUUAACUUGAGUGCAGUAGAGGUAAGUGGAACUCCAUGUGUAGCGGUGGAAUGCGUAGAUAUAUGGAAGAACACCAGUGGCGAAGGCGGCUUACUGGACUGUAACUGACGUUGAGGCUCGAAAGUGUGGGUAGCAAACAGGAUUAGAUACCCUGGUAGUCCACACCGUAAACGAUGAACACUAGGUGUUAGGAGGUUUCCGCCUCUUAGUGCCGAAGCUAACGCAUUAAGUGUUCCGCCUGGGGAGUACGACCGCAAGGUUGAAACUCAAAGGAAUUGACGGGGACCCGCACAAGCGGUGGAGCAUGUGGUUUAAUUCGAAGCAACGCGAAGAACCUUACCAGGUCUUGACAUCCUUUGAAGCUUUUAGAGAUAGAAGUGUUCUCUUCGGAGACAAAGUGACAGGUGGUGCAUGGUCGUCGUCAGCUCGUGUCGUGAGAUGUUGGGUUAAGUCCCGCAACGAGCGCAACCCUUAUUGUUAGUUGCCAGCAUUCAGAUGGGCACUCUAGCGAGACUGCCGGUGACAAACCGGAGGAAGGCGGGGACGACGUCAGAUCAUCAUGCCCCUUAUGACCUGGGCUACACACGUGCUACAAUGGCGUAUACAACGAGUUGCCAACCCGCGAGGGUGAGCUAAUCUCUUAAAGUACGUCUCAGUUCGGAUUGUAGUCUGCAACUCGACUACAUGAAGUCGGAAUCGCUAGUAAUCGCGGAUCAGCACGCCGCGGUGAAUACGUUCCCGGGUCUUGUACACACCGCCCGUCACACCAUGGGAGUUUGUAAUGCCCAAAGCCGGUGGCCUAACCUUUAGGAAGGAGCCGUCUAAGCAGGAACAGAGGUUGAAA
Molecule: ribosomal RNA, 950 nt
Filed under: Leuconostoc pseudomesenteroides
Lineage: Bacteria; Bacillati; Bacillota; Bacilli; Lactobacillales; Lactobacillaceae
Description: bacterial SSU rRNA
Rfam family: Bacterial small subunit ribosomal RNA
Source: RNAcentral